RNAcentral lists this ribosomal RNA (427 nucleotides) under uncultured bacterium. RNAcentral describes it as "partial 16S ribosomal RNA". It matches the Rfam family "Bacterial small subunit ribosomal RNA", at positions 355 to 774 of the family's 1533-position model. The record is from RNAcentral.
UGGGGAAUAUUGCACAAUGGGCGCAAGCCUGAUGCAGCCAUGCCGCGUGUAUGAAGAAGGCCUUCGGGUUGUAAAGUACUUUCAGCGAGGAGGAAGGCGUUGUGGUUAAUAACCGCAGCGAUUGACGUUAAUCGCAGAAGAAGCACCGGCUAACUCCGUGCCAGCAGCCGCGGUAAUACGGAGGGUGCAAGCGUUAAUCGGAAUUACUGGGCGUAAAGCGCACGCAGGCGGUCUGUCAAGUCGGAUGUGAAAUCCCCGGGCUCAACCUGGGAACUGCAUCCGAAACUGGCAGGCUAGAGUCUUGUAGAGGGGGGUAGAAUUCCAGGUGUAGCGGUGAAAUGCGUAGAGAUCUGGAGGAAUACCGGUGGCGAAGGCGGCCCCCUGGACAAAGACUGACGCUCAGGUGCGAAAGCGUGGGGAGCAAACA